CCAGAGCCAGUGUGGCAGCUGGACCAGUGCGGGAUAUACUUCCCGAAAAACCACUUGGCUGCACUCUGCGUGAUGCAGAACUUCCCCGACAAGGAAUCAAAUGCAUGACCCCUGGACUGGAAGCGCAGAAUCUUAACUACUGGACCGCUGGGGAAGUCCUGGCCAUCAAGGAACUUUGAGGGACAAGAUUUGUCCUGAAGGGGAAAGUCGAUCUCCUGUGGCCGUGAGAAAGAGGAAGCAAGAGCGCCUCUGAGAGUGACUGGACCAUUUUGCAUUCCACCAGCAAUGAGCCAGAGUUCCUGUUGCUGCAAUCCCUCACCAGCAAUU
This is a long non-coding RNA of Bos taurus (domestic cattle), 327 nucleotides long. Lineage: Eukaryota; Metazoa; Chordata; Mammalia; Artiodactyla; Bovidae. The record is from Ensembl.